Molecule: unclassified non-coding RNA, 343 nt
Filed under: uncultured fungus
Lineage: Eukaryota; Fungi
Description: partial contains 5.8S ribosomal RNA and internal transcribed spacer 2
Rfam family: 5.8S ribosomal RNA (bases 1-133)
Source: RNAcentral
UGGCUCUGGCAUCGAUGAAGAACGCAGCGAAAUGCGAUAAGUAAUGCGAAUUGCAGAAUUCAGUGAAUCAUCGAAUCUUUGAACGCACAUUGCGCCCGCUAGUAUUCUGGCGGGCAUGCCUGUCUGAGCGUCAUUUCAACCCUCGUGCCCCGGCUUCAUCGCCACGGGCUCGGCGUUGGGGAUCAGCCUCCGGGCUGGCCCUGAAAUACAGUGGCAGCCACGCCGUAGCCUCCUCUGCGUAGUAACUAAACAUGCCUCGCAGGCGGAGAGCGGUCGCGGUCGCGCCGUAAAACACCCAAAACUUUACAAGGUUGACCUCAGAUCAGGUAGGAAUACCCGCUGA